GCCCAAGAGAUCGGGAUAACACCUGAAACAGAUGCUAAUACCGGAUAACAACAGAUGAUGCCUAUCAACUGUUUAAAAGAUGGUUCUGCUAUCACUCUUGGAUGGACCUGCGGUGCAUUAGCUAGUUGGUAGGGUAACGGCCUACCAAGGCGAUGAUGCAUAGCCGAGUUGAGAGACUGAUCGGCCACAUUGGGACUGAGACACGGCCCAAACUCCUACGGGAGGCAGCAGCA
RNAcentral lists this ribosomal RNA (233 nucleotides) under uncultured Lactobacillus sp. Its description in RNAcentral is "partial 16S ribosomal RNA". It matches the Rfam family "Bacterial small subunit ribosomal RNA", at positions 128 to 355 of the family's 1533-position model. Lineage: Bacteria; Bacillati; Bacillota; Bacilli; Lactobacillales; Lactobacillaceae. The record is from RNAcentral.